Long non-coding RNA from Puntigrus tetrazona (Sumatra barb), 901 nucleotides. RefSeq lists it as uncharacterized. The record is from RefSeq and is a predicted model, not a curated record. The transcript has 2 exons. NCBI's taxonomy places the organism in Eukaryota, Metazoa, Chordata, Actinopteri, Cypriniformes, Cyprinidae.
AAGUUAGUGGACUUUGUCAUCCAUUUUAUGGAGGAGAUCGAUAAGAAAAUCAGUGAAAUGAAACUGUCUGUCAAUGCCAGGGCUCACAUAGUUGCAGAGGAGUUCCUCAAAAAUUUUUAGGAAAUUUUCAGCACACCUUCUGCAAUACCUGUGUCACCUUGGUCACCAAAAAAACGAUGGAGAGCUGUGGGGCCACUGAGGAAGUAGUUAAGGUGCGAUUUGAUUCCUGGACCACCAGCGAAGGUGGACCAGCUGGAUCCAGAGGGUGCCGUCAGUCACGGAAUGAAUUCAGAGUAUUGCAGUUUUGUCACUUGAGAGCAAAGUAAUGGUUUUCACAGACAGGCACGGUACUUCUUUUGUCGUCUGUUUUAUUCUUUGACUUCUUUGCCUCUAUAUCUUUUUUUUUUUUUUUUUUUUUUUUUUACUUUUUGCUAAUGGCCUAAUUUUUUCUGCAGUUCCAUUUGUGUAUUCUGUCUCUCUUCAUCUUAUCCCAAAUCCUGUUAUUAUUUAGUAGUAGUAAAGCACUCACAACGUUGCAAUAUUCUGAAUAUGCCUCAGCUUUCCCUCAUGCUUAUGAAUAUUAAUGAGUAUGUUCUGUACAUAUUAAAAGGAUAGACUCAUUUUACCUCUGCCUUUCUAACAAACCUUAAAAUCAGGGUGGGUCUAUAUAAAUGAAACUCAUUGAUACUCAUGAGCACAGAGGAAAAAUGUUCAGUGUCCAAUAAUUUAAACGGUUUGUUUUGUCAAUGUUUUUUAUAAAUAUGUAUACUGUGUUCAAAUGAUCAUUUUUCAUGUUGAGUUUUGAUAUUAAAAAAACCUCACGCUGGUGCACAUGGAUCUUAAAAUCAUAUCAGUCAUGGCAAAAUAAUGAUGACAAUGCUAAAUAAAUCCCUUUAUUGCU